GCGCAUGUGCUGUGAGCUCGAUGAGUAGGGCGGGACACGUGGUAUCCUGUCUGAAUAUGGGGGGACCAUCCUCCAAGGCUAAAUACUCCUGACUGACCGAUAGUGAACCAGUACCGUGAGGGAAAGGCGAAAAGAACCCCGGCGAGGGGAGUGAAAAAGAACCUGAAACCGUGUACGUACAAGCAGUGGGAGCACAGGUUUACCUGUGUGACUGCGUACCUUUUGUAUAAUGGGUCAGCGACUUAUAUUCUGUAGCAAGGUUAACCGUAUAGGGGAGCCGUAGGGAAACCGAGUCUUAACCGGGCGUUAAGUUGCAGGGUAUAGACCCGAAACCCGGUGAUCUAGCCAUGGGCAGGUUGAAGGUUGGGUAACACUAACUGGAGGACCGAACCGACUAAUGUUGAAAAAUUAGCGGAUGACCUGUGGCUGGGGGUGAAAGGCCAAUCAAACCGGGAGAUAGCUGGUUCUCCCCGAAAGCUAUUUAGGUAGCGCCUCGUGAAUUCAUCUCCGGGGGUAGAGCACUGUUUCGGCUAGGGGGCCAUCCCGGCUUACCAACCCGAUGCAAACUGCGAAUACCGGAGAAUGUUAUCACGGGAGACACACGGCGGGUGCUAACGUCCGUCGUGAAGAGGGAAACAACCCAGACCGCCAGCUAAGGUCCCAAAGUCAUGGUUAAGUGGGAAACGAUGUGGGAAGGCCCAGACAGCCAGGAUGUUGGCUUAGAAGCAGCCAUCAUUUAAAGAAAGCGUAAUAGCUCACUGGUCGAGUCGGCCUGCGCGGAAGAUGUAACGGGGCUAAACCAUGCACCGAAG
RNAcentral lists this ribosomal RNA (812 nucleotides) under Salmonella enterica subsp. enterica. RNAcentral describes it as "partial 23S ribosomal RNA". It matches the Rfam family "Bacterial large subunit ribosomal RNA", at positions 388 to 1199 of the family's 2925-position model. Lineage: Bacteria; Pseudomonadati; Pseudomonadota; Gammaproteobacteria; Enterobacterales; Enterobacteriaceae. The record is from RNAcentral.